This 411-nucleotide ribosomal RNA is filed under the name Bacteroidota bacterium. RNAcentral describes it as "Bacteroidetes bacterium partial 16S ribosomal RNA". It matches the Rfam family "Bacterial small subunit ribosomal RNA", at positions 355 to 776 of the family's 1533-position model. Lineage: Bacteria; Pseudomonadati; Bacteroidota. The record is from RNAcentral.
UGGGGAAUAUUGCGCAAUGGGGGAAACCCUGACGCAGCGACGCCGCGUUCGGGAUGAAGGCCUUCGGGUUGUAAACCGCUUUUGAUUGGGAGCAAGCUUUCGGGUGAGUGUACCUUUCGAAUAAGCGCCGGCUAACUACGUGCCAGCAGCCGCGGUAAUACGUAGGGCGCAAGCGUUAUCCGGAAUUAUUGGGCGUAAAGCGAGCGCAGGCGGUCAAUUACGUCUGAUGUGAAAGCCCCCGGCUCAACCGGGGAGGGUCAUUGGAAACUGGUUGACUUGAGUGCAGAAGAGGAGAGUGGAAUUCCAUGUGUAGCGGUGAAAUGCGUAGAUAUAUGGAGGAACACCGGUGGCGAAGGCGACUCUCUGGUCUGGAACUGACGCUGAGGCUCGAAAGCGUGGGUAGCAAACAGG